GUUGUGGGAUCCUUCCAGAAGCAAGACAGAGAGGAAGGCUGAUGUCACUGGAGCAAGCCCAUUUCCAAAAAAACCCACUGUUACUCAGAAGACAGUUUUCAUCUUCUUAUGAAAUACGUGUGAAAGAAAAAGAAGCAGCUGCGCCAAAGAGCCCAGCAACCCAGAAGUUUCCUGUCCUAUUCUUUCCUAUGGAGAAAGCUGGGAUUUGGAAGCUCUCAAGACAAACAUGCAUCUAUAUUCCCGUAUAAGACUACAGCACAGCUGCCAAGAUUGCAAGAUACCACAGAAUCUGUAGUUGCCUCUGAGACCAACUGUGCUAGGAAUGGAUAAUCCUGCCUUUUAUUUAUAAAUAAAAAUAUAUUUUUAAAAAAUUCCCUGUUAUCCAUUAAAGUCAAAUGUGUGCUAGGAUAAACAGAAGUGAAAAUGGUUAAUUCCUAGGGCCUAGGACUAUUUCAUCUGGAUGGGAUUUUGUGACAGUUUUUCCUAUAGCGCCUUAUAAUUCUUGUUCACAUGCACCAGAAACACCGUGAGAAACAAGCACUGACUGGUUAUGGGUGGACGUGUUUUUCUUUCUGGGAUGCGCACUAUAGAGUUGCAUAAAACUGGAAAUAAACAGCUGUCUAUCACUCGGAACAAAGAUGCUGAGUUCACUUCAGAUGCAAUUAAAAUCAGGGCUGAAAUACUGCUUGUGGUCAACGGUUCUAGGAAAGCUAUAAUGUUACUGAUGUAACGUGGACUUUCCCAGCUGCUGUGGAAGUUAGAGACUGUAUACAUAUAGCUUUGCUCUCAUCCAGUUUGAGAACUGACAAAUAUCCCAUUUUUGCCUGCACAGUACCCUGAUGCUAACUGUGGGUAGCCUUCUGUUGCAGCCGUUGCUUCUCCUUGGGAGCAAUGCUCUCUAGAAACAAGGUUGUACAUGAGCCAACCAAUUUACUUUCCCCUGUUAUCUUAGCUCUUAAGCUAUGGAAAGAUAACGGUGACUACAGGAAGACUGUUUUAAAGUGAUACGUUCCAUUUUGCCACGGAGGCUGGGAUGCUGCUCUCUGGAUAUGACAAGGAAGAAAACCUUAUAUGCAUGGUUGACCAGAAGAAUUCCUUGAAUGUGGCUGAAUGUGACUUGCCAAGGAAAUAGGUUAUUAUUUUCUCCUCUCUGCUUCCUCUGAUGGCACUUUUUUUCACUAUGUGGGAAUGGUGAAAAUAAAAGACAGUAGAAGAAAGGAAUGAAAGUGAAAGAUCAAAGCUCUUGAUUCAGUCAGACUUAGUGAUCACUUUAUUAACAUUGUGUUUACAAUUCAAGGUUUAAAAAAAAAAGUCGAAGUGCAGAUUUGUAAGCAUGCUUGCUGGAUACGUUGAUGUAAUCUGAGUUAUUCUAUUGUGACCUGCUGCUGAUAUUUCUACAUGAGAACAACCCAUUGUCACCAGUAGGGUCCAGUUCAACAACCACCUCCUGGGGAGAAGUGGGAUUAAAUAUCACCCUAUUAAUAUCUGAUGCUUGUCUUUAUAGGUUUUUGUUGGCAAUAGAAGUGUAGCGUUUGGGUUUCUAGAGUAUACAUAGCUUGAUAGAAGAUUGCUCAGAUUCUGCAAUGCAGCAGCACUCCUUCAGAAGUCAGCUAGGUUUUUUACAGAGGGAAAAAUAACUUUAUGGUCCAAUCUCACAGUUGGUUUUAAGCAACUUGACCUGUAGUCAAAUUGAAAUUUCCCUCCAAGUUUAAGGAAAAUCUUCAGAGGCAGAAGGAUGUUGCUUUAAAUUCAUGUCUUUAAAAAUGUUUUUAUGUUUUGUCACUUACUGUAAGCUCAGAGCUGUAACCAUGUCUUGAUAUUUGACUCUAUUAUAAAAUUCAGUCAUUUUCCCUUAAUGGAGUAUCUAAUAGUUUUUAAUGGAAUGUCUAACAGUUGUUUAUUGGUAAGCAAACAUCAGCCUUCACUCAUUAUUGUGGCAAACAUAUGCGGGCAGAAGGGCUUACUCUUCCAGUAUGAGGCAAAGAAUAAAGAACUUUAUAUUGGCUUGA
Molecule: long non-coding RNA, 2009 nt
Organism: Lagopus muta (rock ptarmigan)
Lineage: Eukaryota; Metazoa; Chordata; Aves; Galliformes; Phasianidae
Exons: 3
Source: RefSeq, a predicted model, not a curated record